UACGUAGGGCGCAAGCGUUAUCCGGAAUUAUUGGGCGUAAAGAGCUCGUAGGCGGUUUGUCGCGUCUGCCGUGAAAGUCCGGGGCUCAACUCCGGAUCUGCGGUGGGUACGGGCAGACUAGAGUGAUGUAGGGGAGACUGGAAUUCCUGGUGUAGCGGUGAAAUGCGCAGAUAUCAGGAGGAACACCGAUGGCGAAGGCAGGUCUCUGGGCAUUAACUGACGCUGAGGAGCGCAAGCAUGGGGAGCGAGCAGG
This 253-nucleotide ribosomal RNA is filed under the name uncultured bacterium. RNAcentral describes it as "partial 16S ribosomal RNA". It matches the Rfam family "Bacterial small subunit ribosomal RNA", at positions 524 to 776 of the family's 1533-position model. The record is from RNAcentral.